GGUUAAGUUAGAAAGGGCGCACGGUGGAUGCCUUGGCACUAGGAGCCGAAGAAGGACGGGACUAACACCGAUAUGCUUUGGGGAGCUGUACGUAAGCGUUGAUCCAGAGAUUUCCGAAUGGGGGAACCCACUAUCUUUAGUCGGAUAGUAUCCUUACGUGAAUACAUAGCGUGAGGAAGGCAGACCCAGGGAACUGAAACAUCUAAGUACCUGGAGGAAGAGAAAGAAAAAUCGAUUUCCUGAGUAGCGGCGAGCGAAACGGAAAGAGCCCAAACCAAGAAGCUUGCUUCUUGGGGUUGUAGGACACUCUAUACGGAGUUACAAAAGAAAGUUAUAAAUGAAGCGGUCUGGAAAGGCCCGCCAAAGACGGUAACAGCCCGGUAGUUGAAAUGGCUUUCCCUCCAGAGUGGAUCCUGAGUACGGCGGAACACGUGAAAUUCCGUCGGAAUCCGGGAGGACCAUCUCCCAAGGCUAAAUACUCCCUAGUGACCGAUAGUGAACCAGUACCGUGAGGGAAAGGUGAAAAGCACCCCGGAAGGGGAGUGAAACAGUUCCUGAAACCGUGUGCCUACAAGUAGUUAGAGCCCGUUAAUGGGUGAUAGCGUGCCUUUUGUAGAAUGAACCGGCGAGUUACGAUUUGUUGCAAGGUUAAGCGGAAAAAGCGGAGCCGUAGCGAAAGCGAGUCUGAAUAGGGCGCAUAAGUAACAGGUCGUAGACCCGAAACCAGGUGAUCUACCCAUGUCCAGGAUGAAGGUAAGGUAAUACUUACUGGAGGUCCGAACCCACGCACGUUGAAAAGUGCGGGGAUGAGGUGUGGGUAGCGGAGAAAUUCCAAUCGAACUUGGAGAUAGCUGGUUCUCUCCGAAAUAGCUUUAGGGCUAGCCUCGAGGUAAAGAGUCAUGGAGGUAGAGCACUGUUUGGACUAGGGGCCCUUCUCGGGUUACCGAAUUCAGAUAAACUCCGAAUGCCAUGUACUUAUACUCGGGAGUCAGACUGCGAGUGAUAAGAUCCGUAGUCGAAAGGGAAACAGCCCAGACCACCAGUUAAGGUCCCCAAAUAUAUGUUAAGUGGAAAAGGAUGUGGGGUUGCUUAGACAACCAGGAUGUUGGCUUAGAAGCAGCCACCAUUGAAAGAGUGCGUAAUAGCUCACUGGUCGAGUGACCCCGCGCCGAAAAUGUACCGGGGCUAAACAUAUUACCGAAACUGUGGAUGAACCUCUUUAGAGGUUCGUGGUAGGAGAGCGUUCUAAGGGCGGUGAAGUCAGACCGGAAGGACUGGUGGAGCGCUUAGAAGUGAGAAUGCCGGUAUGAGUAGCGAAAGAAGGGUGAGAAUCCCUUCCACCGAAUAUCUAAGGUUUCCUGAGGAAGGCUCGUCCGCUCAGGGUUAGUCGGGACCUAAGCCGAGGCCGAUAGGCGUAGGCGAUGGACAACAGGUAGAGAUUCCUGUACCAGUGCUAAUUGUUUAACCGAUGGGGUGACACAGAAGGAUAGGGAAUCGCACGAAUGGAAAUGUGCGUCCAAGCAGUGAGUGUGAGAAGUAGGCAAAUCCGCUUCUCGCGAAG
This 1561-nucleotide ribosomal RNA is filed under the name Listeria monocytogenes. Its description in RNAcentral is "partial 23S ribosomal RNA". It matches the Rfam family "Bacterial large subunit ribosomal RNA", at positions 1 to 1556 of the family's 2925-position model. Lineage: Bacteria; Bacillati; Bacillota; Bacilli; Caryophanales; Listeriaceae. The record is from RNAcentral.